Molecule: ribosomal RNA, 440 nt
Filed under: uncultured bacterium
Lineage: Bacteria
Description: partial 16S ribosomal RNA
Rfam family: Bacterial small subunit ribosomal RNA
Source: RNAcentral
CCUACGGGGGGCUGCAGUGGGGAAUAUUGCACAAUGGGGGAAACCCUGAUGCAGCGACGCCGCGUGAGUGAAGAAGUAUUUCGGUAUGUAAAGCUCUAUCAGCAGGGAAGAAAAUGACGGUACCUGACUAAGAAGCCCCGGCUAACUACGUGCCAGCAGCCGCGGGAAUACGUAGGGGGCAAGCGUUAUCCGGAUUUACUGGGGGUAAAGGGAGCGUAGACGGCCAGACAAGUCAGAAGUGAAAACCCGGGGCUCAACUGCGGGAGUGCUUUUGAAACUGUUUGGCUGGAGUGCAGGAGAGGUAAGUGGAAUUCCUAGUGUAGCGGUGAAAUGCGUAGAUAUUAGGAGGAACACCAGUGGCGAAGGCGGCUUACUGGACUGUAACUGACGUUGAGGCUCGAAAGCGUGGGGAGCAAACAGGAUUAGAUACCCGAGUAGUC